CCUUCUUCCAGGCUGACAGCCGGAGAAUUUGUUAGAGGUCCGGCUUCCUGCUAAAGCCUACUAGGAAAUCAGGGGGUGCGGCCGGAGCGAGCCUUGAAACUCAAACUGCCUCCGCUGGGCUGCAGCUCCCAGGAGUCAAGCUAAGAGGACGGGGUCCCCACUUCACUGCUGCCUGCAGCCCGUGGGGGGCCGGGUGCCCUUGGUGACCGGAGGCCUUGCCUUUGCAACCGGAGCCAUGGCCGACUCUGCUGAACUGGGCUGUGGUGCAUCCGUGAAGUGCUUGCGAGUGGAUCGAGCUGCCACUGCUGAACUGGACUGUGGUGCAUCUGUGAAGUGUUUUCGAGUGGAUCGAGCUGCCACUGUUGACCUGUGAACUGAACUACCAGUUUCCAGACGACACAGUUGCUCCAAAGAAUCUUUCUAAACGGG
Rattus norvegicus (Norway rat) is the source of this 429-nucleotide long non-coding RNA. RefSeq lists it as uncharacterized. NCBI's taxonomy places the organism in Eukaryota, Metazoa, Chordata, Mammalia, Rodentia, Muridae. The record is from RefSeq and is a predicted model, not a curated record.